RNAcentral lists this long non-coding RNA (3729 nucleotides) under Triticum aestivum (bread wheat). Its description in RNAcentral is "long non-coding RNA (TAES_LNC026762)". Lineage: Eukaryota; Viridiplantae; Streptophyta; Magnoliopsida; Poales; Poaceae. The record is from RNAcentral.
AGAAGAGCAACUGUAUAUAGUAAAGCUAAUCAAUAGGACCUCUGGCACCUUAGUCAUGAAAUGAAUCAUCACAAUUAGCAAGAGAAAUUUGUAUAGCAUGUUGAUGCCAAAAUGACGAAUAACAUGUAGCAUAGUCCAGCAUACAUGACAGAUUUUCAUCGACCUUACAAUCAACACUAUUGUAAGCAUGACUUCCCUUCAUGAGUUAGAGAUUGUUAAACAUGGUAAGGCCACUAAACUAUCUCAAUCAAUUUUAAAAACAACACAUGUAGCAUAAGAAGUUCACAAUGCACUUUUAAAUCACGUGUAUGCAUAUAAAUUGUGUUUUUCACGACUGCAUUUGGUGCCACGGAGCUCCAUUCAGCUUGUUCUCGGAGUGAAUCUGAAAAACAUAAUGGAUUCUGUUAUACGUACCUAUUGCUGACCUGCAAAUUUGCUCAGGGGGCUAAAAAUAGUAACCUCAAAUUAUGUAGACCAAGCUAAGCAUAUAAACUUAAUUUACUGAAGCAACACACAGGGUAAUAGCAGAAGUAAAGUCUUAUUGUGACAUUCAUACCAUUGUGCAUGUAUAAGUUACUCAUAUUAAUAGUUGUUCUUUGAUAUGCAAAGUCAUUUGCCUGCAUGGUUUACCUUUCAUUUUCCCUACCUUAUUUCUGAAACUUUUGGAUCUUCUUUAUCAGAAGUUCAGAACCUUGUCUGCAUAGUUAUAAACAUCUUAUUUCUGAAACUUGUGGCUCUACUUUUUUAGGACCUUGUUUGGUAAGUUAUAAAAUUUAUAUGAAAAUAUCAAUAAUUUGAACCGGACCUCCACAAUAUGCAGAGAGAAAAAUAAUGACAAACAAAGAAUGAGACAUGAAUGCUAUUAUGAACACAUGGUACAUAUGCAGAUGUUGAUAAUCUCUUUUUCAGAAACACCACUCAGAACUGGAGCUUUAAAUAUGACCGUAGAAACAUGAGCCUUCAGUGCUUCUGAACUUUCUUUUAAACUCAACCUCUAAGCUUUUUAGUUUACUGUGAUUAUCAUUUUGUCAGAUAUACACACAUUGAUUUCUUGAAUAAUCAACCUAACUGACUGGCCAACUGCCAUCCAACAUCACCAUGCCAAUUUAAGGUGUGGCUCCGCCUUUUUUAUCAACGGGAAUACAAAAGGGAUGAAACAUAAAAGGCCGUAUGGCCACAAUCAAGUAUACCAGCGCGCUUCUGACAGUGCCAGACAUGACCAGCCGCACCGCUCUCCAUCUAGCCUAGAGCUCAACCAAAUACAACGACAUGACCACACAACAGCAAGACCAACUAAAAGAAAAUCAGCGGGACCAUAGGACGAACUCUGCCUAGGUGACACAAAGACAGUGACAAUAGCAAAGCGAAAGACCAAAUCUGACAGCCGCACACCUAAACACGAAUGGCACCACCGGCAUUGGCCUCAAACCGCCCGGCAAACCUAGAAGUACCAAGAUUUAUUCAGCCAUAAAAAAUGCUUCUGUACUAAGCAAUGGAAAGAUGCCAAUUUCCAAACCUCAUGAGAUCUGAACAAAUUAUCUAGAUGAGAAAAUCGCAAGAACAAAAAUAUGGAAAUAACACAGGAAUGCUGACAAAUGAAAAAUAAGGAUCCUUGCCUUAAUGCAUCACAACUUCAAAUCAUCGGCACUCUACUCGGCAAGUAAAUUCUGAAUCCACAUAUUUUAGCCAUAAGACCUACAUUUACAAUUGACGGACUCUGCAGGCAAAGCAGUUACUAACUUUUCUGGAAUAUAUAGUAAAUUUGGAUGUGCUCUUACAUAGCUGAAAUAAAAUAGUAGAUGCUAAUUCUUCCAGCAAGGGAGACAUCAGAUAAAUACUAAAUUACCAUCAUCUAGCGUACACCGGCCAAAAUAUAAGGAAAAUGAUGUUCAGUUUCAGAGUAAAAAUGGGAUCAGUUGAAGGAAUAUCCUAGUUUUACAUGUGAGUAUUGCCAAAUUAAAUUUGUACAUCAAAGAAUAUCACAGAGCAUGGGAGCAAUAGUAAACUGAAAUUGUCAAAUAAGUCAUCAAAUUAGAACUCAGUAUCCAAAUCCAAUGAGCCCACUCGUGGCAUCAGAGAUGACAUAUAGAGGUUGCCAGCCAAAUCAAUGGAACAUGAAGCAAUUAAAAAUCCUAUAACAUGAGCAUCACGGGAUAUAUAAUUGUGUUAUAAGUGACAGAAGCAUCCCUACAAUAAAUAAUUAUAAUUGCUAAGGCUCUAUGUCCCUUCUUCUCAUGUGCCUACAUCUCCAUUUCUUAGCACAUCUUUUAGACAAAUUAAGAACCGAGAUAGAUAGAAAUCAACGCAAAUCCCUUUGUUGUGCCAGUGUACAACAUAUGUGAUCAGCGAUUGUUAAUUUUGCCUUCCCCUAUGCCCUUCUGUAUUCAGAAGACAAACUGCCAACAGUUUCUUGGAAAUUUAAAACGACUUCUUUUGUUGUUAUAUACUUAAAAUACCAAUUCGGAAUGAUUCUAUCAAAUCUACAACAGUAAAUUGAAUUUACAAUAGUGUGCCUAAAUAAGAAGUUGAUUUGGUCCCAAGAAGAUGCUAGACAUACAUGUAUUUAUUGAUUGAUCCAUGUCAAAGAGAGCUUACACAAGUCAGAGGUUCGCGGAUAUUUGACAGGCUUCUUAAUUAGAGAGAAGCUGUCCGGCCGGUCGUGGAGAUUGUAGGUAAAGGUCCUAUAUGUAAGCAGCCAUUGGACAACAAUGUACCAGAUUAGUAAACACCUCAACCAAACAUAUAACAAAAAUCAAACGAUGGUACAUCCUAUAAAACGAAACACCCACGAAAGUGAUGAACACCACACUGAGACACUAACCCACACCAAAUAAACCAUCGACAAAAAUUUGGCUUUGUUUUAUUCAAUCAAAUGGAGCCGGGGCAAGAGCCCUUUUCUUCUAAAAAAACAAACCCAUCGACAGCACCACAUCCAGGCAGCCACAAAGCACUUAAUCCAAACCCCAAUGGAUCGCACCAACAUCAACACAUGAUGACAGACAGGAAGCAUCCACCACUACAGCCCCUACCCUGUAAUCCAUGGGGAGAAAGAAAAAUCUGGGAGGACACCCUCCGCAGCCAAAACAAGCCUGUCAAAUAUUGACCGGCACCGGCAUGGAAACAACACCACAAAGGCAGAAAUAAACCAUCUUCAUUCCUUUGCACAAUAUGUUGCACUUAUCAUCAAUAUUGUAGUGAAACUGUACCUGAAAUUAAUAGUAAGACAACGGAAAAUUAUAUUCACUCUUUACCACAGUAAGGAAGAUAACUUUGCCAUACCGACCUCUAGUUCAUACGCGGCAAAAGCAUUGUGGAUACCAAUCCACCGCGCCGCUCGCAUUCCCGUUGUAAUAUUCUCCUUAAAUUACUAAUCACCCACCGCAAGUGGUGCCCUCUCUUCUAGCCAACUUCUUACAUAAACUGGCCACAGUAACCCACCAAGGGAUUCAGCUGCUGAACCAAUUCAUAGGCUAAAAAUGGAUGACUACUUUGCACUAAAGUGAGCUGCCAAUAAGAAGUCAGUUUGUAAUGUGAUAUCAUUUCGUUCAAACCUGUUCUCCUUAAUAAACUAAAAAUAAGGGAGGAGCUAAAUUACCAAUACUAUAUGGAAAAGUUGAGAAGUGUAUCAAAAAUCAACCUCCGUAAUCGACGGAUGACCCCACCACCCGCGCUCCGCCGCCGUCGUGCAAGGCUCGAGCUCGCCCAGCCGGACCAGCGCACCACCGUUAG